RNAcentral lists this ribosomal RNA (234 nucleotides) under uncultured bacterium. Its description in RNAcentral is "partial 16S ribosomal RNA". It matches the Rfam family "Bacterial small subunit ribosomal RNA", at positions 96 to 334 of the family's 1533-position model. The record is from RNAcentral.
UGGCGGACGGGUGAGUAAUGUCUGGGAAACUGCCUGAUGGAGGGGGAUAACUACUGGAAACGGUAGCUAAUACCGCAUAACGUCGCAAGACCAAAGAGGGGACCUUCGGGCCUCCUGCCAUCGGAUGUGCCCAGAUGGGAUUAGCUAGUAGGUGGGGUAACGGCUCACCUAGGCGACGAUCCCUAGCUGGUCUGAGAGGAUGACCAGCCACACUGGAACUGAGACACGGUCCAG